This is a long non-coding RNA of Vulpes vulpes (red fox), 1776 nucleotides long. NCBI's taxonomy places the organism in Eukaryota, Metazoa, Chordata, Mammalia, Carnivora, Canidae. The record is from Ensembl.
AGGCGUCCCUCCUCUCCCAGGCUCCCGACCCUCGGCGCCACCUGUCGCUCCGCAGGCGUCCGAAGUUCUCUGGCUCCACGCCCCGUCUCUGAAGACCAGCUGUGACUACGUGAGCUGCUACCGUGAGCCUGCUGCCAACGCGGAGGACACAGAUUCGGAUGACUAUGUCAAUAUUCCUUACCUGACUCACCUAUCCAGCUGUCCCCCUGGGCCCAGACCCUGGUGCCAAUGAGCCCUGUCUAGCUGCUUGUUUCCAAUACUUGCUCUGUUUUCAGAGCCCUCAUUACCUCCUGCACCAGCCUCAAGUCUUGUUCCUGUCUCUUCAGAGAAUAGCUCAGUAACCCCCUCCCAGCUCUUCUUGCGCACCUCUGCAGCCGCCCUGUGGUUUUCAGGUGGGCUCUGGGCAUGCAGAGCAUUUGUCUUGGUUGCACCAGCUUCCUCUCCAAGCCGUGGAAUCUGCAGAGCGUCUUUGAUCACAGGAUCUUUACUGCCAUGGCUCCGGACUCAUGGCAUCAGGCUGGAGCAUAGGCCUGGCUGUGGCUUUGGGAGACUUUCUCAGGCUUGGGCGUCACACCAGUGGAAGGCUCUUGGACCUCGUAGUGAGGGCAUGCCUCAGCCCUGUGAGUUAGGAAGGGGUCAGGUAUGAAAUGCCCCUGGCAACAUCCUUUGCCCUGAUCUUGAGGCUGCCUCUUACUAGUGAGCUUCUGUACAUCUUGAGUCCGAUGGUGAGGACGUUUUCUCCUGAUAUGAUGAAAUGUAAAUUUUCAGAACCACGCUUGUUAGUGUUAGUGAUCAUAUGUAUACAUGUCCCUAAAUUCUCUUUACUGUCUCCCUCCCUUGAUGCACAUAAGUACCCUGACCCGUGUGUCUCCCCUGUUUUAAAAAUAGCAUAGUUUGUGUCAUCUCUUUAUCUUUCUUCCAUGGCUUAGCACUAACUCUGUGUACUUAUCUGAAUGUUGGUCUGUUUUGGCCACCCCAAACUAUUACAUCUCUGCUUCAGGAAUGCCCCCUCAUUUCUUUGCCAUGUAACCUGUGCCAAGGUAGGGGAGGAAAGUGGCUUCUUGGAGGGCCAGGUGCUCUGUAAUAGCACUUAUGUCAUGAAAGGAGAGAGAUUGGCCCUCCAACAUAUACUUUCUCGUCAGUUUUCUGGGCCAGGGCAGAGGCAGACAUUGCAUCUCUGGACUAAAGUCAACUACAAAGUCCAUUCAGAGCUUGAGACUAGAGAACACCCAGUCUUGCUGUUGAGUCUUGCUGGAUGCGUAACUCAGCCUUACUGGGCACUUGUCCACACUUAGAAAGAAGAGGCUGCCAGAAAUGAGUCCCCUGCCUUUUAUUAGCAGAGAGAUUGGACAGUCCAUCCAGGUAUGAUGACACCACCAGCAGUGUCAACUUGACAAUGGCACCCUCUCAAGUGGCUGAUAAGAAUGUAAGAGAGGAGGGGCCCCAAUGAGAAGGGAUGAUGGAAAUGGGGUGGGGAGAAAUGAAAUGUUUAGUGAGGCUGCAUUGUGCUGGGCACUUAGCCUGCGUUGUGUCUUCUAUCAUUUACCUUUCAAACUGAUGUCCCUCACGUCCACCCCAAUGCUCUGUUCCUACAGAUCUCGUGGCAGUAUGGUUUCUAGCCCAUGAAGUUCAACCUCGUAUCCCAGCACCCCCUCAUUGAUCCUCAAUAAUUCAAAUACAGACAAAAAACCCAGUUUAUUAAGCAUUUACUGAGCACUCAUCCACUGUCCCACACGGUGUCAAGCAUUGUGGAGAAUAAAAAAGAAGCAUGGGGCA